GUGAGGAAUUUUCCGCAAUGGGCGAAAGCCUGACGGAGCAAUGCCGCGUGAAGGAUGAAGGCCUAUGGGUUGUAAACUUCUUUUCUUAGAGAAGAAUAUUGACGGUAUCUGAGGAAUAAGCAUCGGCUAACUCCGUGCCAGCAGCCGCGGUAAUACGGAGGAUCCAAGCGUUGUCCGGAUUUAUUGGGUUUAAAGGGUGCGUAGGCGGAUCUUUAAGUCAGUGGUGAAAGCCUGCAGCUUAACUGUAGAAUUGCCAUUGAAACUGAAGAUCUUGAAUGUGGUUAAAGUAGGCGGAAUGUAUCAUGUAGCGGUGAAAUGCUUAGAUAUGAUACAGAACACCGAUAGCGAAGGCAGCUUGCUGAACCAUUAUUGACGCUGAGGCACGAAAGCGUGGGGAGCGAACAGGAUUAGAUACCCGUGUAGUCC
This 426-nucleotide ribosomal RNA is filed under the name uncultured bacterium. Its description in RNAcentral is "partial 16S ribosomal RNA". It matches the Rfam family "Bacterial small subunit ribosomal RNA", at positions 354 to 796 of the family's 1533-position model. The record is from RNAcentral.